This is a long non-coding RNA of Hydra vulgaris (swiftwater hydra), 486 nucleotides long. RefSeq lists it as uncharacterized. The record is from RefSeq and is a predicted model, not a curated record. Lineage: Eukaryota; Metazoa; Cnidaria; Hydrozoa; Anthoathecata; Hydridae.
GCUGUACUUCGAAAACGUGAUGAGUCACAAAAUUAAAAUUUUACAGUAUGCAAUGCAAACUCAAAGAUGUUUUGAAAAGUUGAUCGUAAUGUAGAUACAUUUCAAGCCUGCUGACAGAGAAAACAUUAUUAAUGACAAGGCUGGGUAUUCCAGAUAUUGAUUUUAAUUUUUUCAACUGAUGAAUGAACUUUCUAGACAUGCUGGGAGUAACGCAAAAAAAUAUAUGGAAAAUUUAUUAAAGAUGUAUAUUUCAAUAUACCUGUUGAGUAUCAAAUCACAUUUUUAUAGACUAGUCUAGAUCAUUUUGUCUACUAACUCUAACCUCUCAGUUGUGUUCAUGCCUGGUUUUUCAGAUCUUAAUUAAGAUAUCUAUUUUUUUUGUUUAUUGCAUAAUUUUUCCAUGAUUUAAUUAAUUUUUAUUCAUUUGUGAUUUGAGUAUUUCAUUAAUUUAGUUUUGUGAUUUUUUUCAUUAAUUUACAUUUGUGA